AACGCGAAGAACCUUACCUAGGUUUGACAUCCCUGGACCGUCCUAGAAAUAGGAUUUCUGUAGCAAUACAGCCAGGUGACAGGUGCUGCAUGGCUGUCGUCAGCUCGUGUGGUGACAUGUUGGGUUAAGUCCCGCAACGAGCGCAACCCCUGUUCUUAGUUGCCAGCAUUCAGUUGGGCACUCUAAGGAGACUGCCGUGGUGAACACGGAGGAAGGUGGGGAUGACGUCAAGUCCUCAUGGCCUUUAUAUCUAGGGCGACACACGUGAUACAAUGGUCGGUACAAAGGGUCGCAAAACGGCAACGUCAAGCUAAUCCCAAAAAACCGAUCUCAGUUCGGAUUGGAGUCUGCAACUCGACUCCAUGAAGUUGGAAUCGCUAGUAAUCGCGGAUCAGCACGCCGCGGUGAAUACGUUCCCGGGCCUUGUACACACCGAGACGUA
RNAcentral lists this ribosomal RNA (442 nucleotides) under uncultured bacterium. RNAcentral's name for it is "bacterial SSU rRNA". It matches the Rfam family "Bacterial small subunit ribosomal RNA", at positions 958 to 1398 of the family's 1533-position model. The record is from RNAcentral.